GUGGGGAAUAUUGCACAAUGGGCGCAAGCCUGAUGCAGCAACGCCGCGUGAGGGAUGACGGCCUUCGGGUUGUAAACCUCUUUUAGUAGGGAAGAAGCGUAAGUGACGGUACCUGCAGAAAAAGCACCGGCUAACUACGUGCCAGCAGCCGCGGUAAUACGUAGGGUGCAAGCGUUGUCCGGAAUUAUUGGGCGUAAAGAGCUCGUAGGCGGCUUGUCGCGUCUGCCGUGAAAACCCAGGGCUCAACUCUGGGCGUGCGGUGGGUACGGGCAGGCUAGAGUGCGGUAGGGGAGAUUGGAAUUCCUGGUGUAGCGGUGGAAUGCGCAGAUAUCAGGAGGAACACCGAUGGCGAAGGCAGAUCUCUGGGCCGUAACUGACGCUGAGGAGCGAAAGCAUGGGGAGCGAACAGGAUUAGAUACCCUGGUAGUCC
RNAcentral lists this ribosomal RNA (430 nucleotides) under uncultured bacterium. RNAcentral describes it as "partial 16S ribosomal RNA". It matches the Rfam family "Bacterial small subunit ribosomal RNA", at positions 354 to 796 of the family's 1533-position model. The record is from RNAcentral.